This 88-nucleotide small nuclear RNA is filed under the name Jaculus jaculus (lesser Egyptian jerboa). The record is from RNAcentral. Lineage: Eukaryota; Metazoa; Chordata; Mammalia; Rodentia; Dipodidae.
CCCUUAGCAAAUUUGACCAAAAGAAAGAAGAUCAACAUGACCCCUUCACAAGGAUGACAUACGAAUUCAUGAAGCAUUCCAUAUUUUU